CGAAAUCCGCUAAGGAGUGU
RNAcentral lists this small nuclear RNA (20 nucleotides) under Arabidopsis thaliana (thale cress). RNAcentral describes it as "snRNA_08725". The record is from RNAcentral. Lineage: Eukaryota; Viridiplantae; Streptophyta; Magnoliopsida; Brassicales; Brassicaceae.